GUUGACCUCGGAUCAGGUAGGAAUACCCGCUGAACUUAAGCAUAUCAAUAAGCGGAGGAAAAGAAACCAACAGGGAUUGCCUCAGUAACGGCGAGUGAAGCGGCAAAAGCUCAAAUUUGAAAUCUGGCUCUUUUCAGGGUCCGAGUUGUAAUUUGUAGAGGAUGUUUCGGGCAAGACUUCGGUUUAAGUUCCUUGGAACAGGACGUCAUAGAGGGUGAGAAUCCCGUCUUGAACCGUCUGUCGCGUCCGUGUGAAACUCCUUCGACGAGUCGAGUUGUUUGGGAAUGCAGCUCUAAAUGGGAGGUAAAUUUCUUCUAAAGCUAAAUAUUGGCCAGAGACCGAUAGCGCACAAGUAGAGUGAUCGAAAGAUGAAAAGCACUUUGAAAAGAGAGUUAAACAGUAUGUGAAAUUGUUGAAAGGGAAGCUCUUGCAACCAGACUUGUUUCCAACGGUUCAACCGCUGUUUUCAGUGGCCUAUUCCGUUGGUUCAGGCCAGCAUCGGUUCGAGUGGUUAGUUAAAGACUUUGGGAAUGUAUCUACCCCUCCGGGGGUAGACUUAUAGCCCUUUGUGUAAUGUGACCUACCUGGACCGAGGGACGCGCUUUUUGCUCGGAUGCUGGCGUAAUGGUUGUAAGCGACCCGUCUUGAAACACGGACC
RNAcentral lists this ribosomal RNA (658 nucleotides) under Phaeomoniella chlamydospora. Its description in RNAcentral is "eukaryotic LSU rRNA". It matches the Rfam family "Eukaryotic large subunit ribosomal RNA", at positions 1 to 667 of the family's 3401-position model. The record is from RNAcentral. Lineage: Eukaryota; Fungi; Ascomycota; Eurotiomycetes; Phaeomoniellales; Phaeomoniellaceae.